RNAcentral lists this ribosomal RNA (253 nucleotides) under uncultured bacterium. RNAcentral's name for it is "partial 16S ribosomal RNA". It matches the Rfam family "Bacterial small subunit ribosomal RNA", at positions 524 to 776 of the family's 1533-position model. The record is from RNAcentral.
UACGAAGGGUGCAAGCGUUACUCGGAAUUACUGGGCGUAAAGCGUGCGUAGGUGGUUUGUUAAGUCUGUUGUGAAAGCCCCGGGCUCAACCUGGGAAUGGCAAUGGAUACUGGCAAGCUAGCGUGCGGUAGAGGGUAGUGGAAUUCCCGGUGUAGCGGUGAAAUGCGUAGAGAUCGGGAGGAACACCAGUGGCGAAGGCGGCUACCUGGACCAGCACUGACACUGAGGCACGAAAGCGUGGGGAGCAAACAGG